RNAcentral lists this ribosomal RNA (380 nucleotides) under uncultured bacterium. Its description in RNAcentral is "bacterial SSU rRNA". The stretch from base 1 to 283 matches the Rfam family "Bacterial small subunit ribosomal RNA", at positions 253 to 546 of the family's 1533-position model. The record is from RNAcentral.
ACAGGAAACAGCUAUGACCAUGAUUACGCCAAGCUUGGUACCGAGCUCGGAUCCACUAGUAACGGCCGCCAGUGUGCUGGAAUUCGGCUUCCUACGGGAGGCAGCAGUGGGGAAUUUUCCGCAAUGGGCGAAAGCCUGACGGAGCAAUACCGCGUGAGGGAGGAAGGCCUUUGGGUUGUAAACCUCUUUUCUUAAGGAAGAAGUUCUGACGGUACUUAAGGAAUAAGCAUCGGCUAACUCCGUGCCAGCAGCCGCGGUAAUAAGCCGAAUUCUGCAGAUAUCCAUCACACUGGCGGCCGCUCGAGCAUGCAUCUAGAGGGCCCAAUUCGCCCUAUAGUGAGUCGUAUUACAAUUCACUGGCCGUCGUUUUACAACGUCAA